UAAAAUAGAGCUUUGCUCGUGAACCAAAUAUGGUGGGCUGGGUUGUCUUUGCGGAAACGCUUGGGCGACUUGUCUACGAAUUGUAAUCAUAAUAUGGGCGGCGGUGAAUCCUUUGCAGACGACUUGAAUGGGAACGGGGUACUGUAAGUGGUAGAGUAGCCUUGUUGCUACGAUCCACUGAGGUUAAGCCCUUGUUCUAAAGAUUUGU
RNAcentral lists this ribosomal RNA (208 nucleotides) under Armillaria calvescens. Its description in RNAcentral is "partial 28S ribosomal RNA". It matches the Rfam family "Eukaryotic large subunit ribosomal RNA", at positions 3193 to 3401 of the family's 3401-position model. Lineage: Eukaryota; Fungi; Basidiomycota; Agaricomycetes; Agaricales; Physalacriaceae. The record is from RNAcentral.